This 651-nucleotide ribosomal RNA is filed under the name Streptomyces sp. RNAcentral describes it as "bacterial SSU rRNA". It matches the Rfam family "Bacterial small subunit ribosomal RNA", at positions 331 to 992 of the family's 1533-position model. The record is from RNAcentral. Lineage: Bacteria; Bacillati; Actinomycetota; Actinomycetes; Kitasatosporales; Streptomycetaceae.
CCAGACUCCUACGGGAGGCAGCAGUGGGGAAUAUUGCACAAUGGGCGAAAGCCUGAUGCAGCGACGCCGCGUGAGGGAUGACGGCCUUCGGGUUGUAAACCUCUUUCAGCAGGGAAGAAGCGAAAGUGACGGUACCUGCAGAAGAAGCGCCGGCUAACUACGUGCCAGCAGCCGCGGUAAUACGUAGGGCGCAAGCGUUGUCCGGAAUUAUUGGGCGUAAAGAGCUCGUAGGCGGUCUGUCACGUCGGAUGUGAAAGCCCGGGGCUUAACCCCGGGUCUGCAUUCGAUACGGGCAGACUAGAGUGUGGUAGGGGAGAUCGGAAUUCCUGGUGUAGCGGUGAAAUGCGCAGAUAUCAGGAGGAACACCGGUGGCGAAGGCGGAUCUCUGGGCCAUUACUGACGCUGAGGAGCGAAAGCGUGGGGAGCGAACAGGAUUAGAUACCCUGGUAGUCCACGCCGUAAACGGUGGGAACUAGGUGUUGGCGACAUUCCACGUCGUCGGUGCCGCAGCUAACGCAUUAAGUUCCCCGCCUGGGGAGUACGGCCGCAAGGCUAAAACUCAAAGGAAUUGACGGGGGCCCGCACAAGCAGCGGAGCAUGUGGCUUAAUUCGACGCAACGCGAAGAACCUUACCAAGGCUUGACAUCGCCC